RNAcentral lists this non-coding RNA (28 nucleotides) under Mus musculus (house mouse). The record is from RNAcentral. Lineage: Eukaryota; Metazoa; Chordata; Mammalia; Rodentia; Muridae.
UGGAAGAUCAGACUGCCACACUUAGUAC